ACUUCCGUGGUGGAAUGGGUAUACCACACUAGGCUUACAUACUGGAGGUCCCGGGUUCGAUCCUGGCAAAAUUG
RNAcentral lists this transfer RNA (74 nucleotides) under Diaphorina citri (Asian citrus psyllid). It matches the Rfam family "tRNA". From Rfam's summary of the family: Transfer RNA (tRNA) molecules are approximately 80 nucleotides in length. Their secondary structure includes four short double-helical elements and three loops (D, anti-codon, and T loops). Lineage: Eukaryota; Metazoa; Arthropoda; Insecta; Hemiptera; Psyllidae. The record is from Rfam by way of RNAcentral.